Molecule: small nucleolar RNA, 106 nt
Filed under: Thalictrum thalictroides
Lineage: Eukaryota; Viridiplantae; Streptophyta; Magnoliopsida; Ranunculales; Ranunculaceae
Description: Plant small nucleolar RNA R71
Rfam family: Plant small nucleolar RNA R71
About the family: R71 is a member of the C/D box family of snoRNAs containing the C (UGAUGA) and D (CUGA) box motifs. Multiple nearly identical copies of this snoRNA have been identified in Arabidopsis, and it is thought to function as a 2'-O-ribose methylation guide for 18S ribosomal RNA.
Source: Rfam by way of RNAcentral
AUUUGAUGAUGUGGACAUUGUGUCUGCAACUCCCCAAAUCUUUUCCAAGCUUCGAAGAAUUCAUCCGUAUGCUUCUGUCCAAAAGUUAGGAUCUUGUUCCUUAACU